This 1420-nucleotide ribosomal RNA is filed under the name Dicellomyces gloeosporus. Its description in RNAcentral is "partial 18S ribosomal RNA". It matches the Rfam family "Eukaryotic small subunit ribosomal RNA", at positions 59 to 1123 of the family's 1831-position model. The record is from RNAcentral. Lineage: Eukaryota; Fungi; Basidiomycota; Exobasidiomycetes; Exobasidiales; Brachybasidiaceae.
UCUAGUUUAAUAAUUUUACGGUGAAACUGCGAAUGGCUCAUUAAAUCAGUUAUAGUUUAUUUGAUGCUCCUUCACUACAUGGAUAACUGUGGUAAUUCUAGAGCUAAUACAUGCGUACUAACCCCCGACUUUUGGGAAGGGGUGUAUUUAUUAGGUAAAAACCAACCGUCUUCGGGCGAACUUGGUGAGUCAUAAUAACUUUUCGAAUCGCAUGGCCUUGCGCCGGCGAUGUUUCAUUCAAAUAUCUGCCCUAUCAACUUUGAUGGUAGGAUAGAGGCCUACCAUGGUUGCAACGGGUAACGGGGAAUAAGGGUUCGAUUCCGGAGAGGGAGCCUGAGAAACGGCUACCACAUCCAAGGAAGGCAGCAGGCGCGCAAAUUACCCAAUCCCGACACGGGGAGGUAGUGACAAUAAAUAACAAUAUAGGGCCUUUUAGGUCUUAUAAUUGGAAUGAGUACAAUUUAAAUCCCUUAACGAGGAACAAUUGGAGGGCAAGUCUGGUGCCAGCAGCCGCGGUAAAUGUAAUUGCCGCUAAGAGUGAUGAUCACUAGUCGUUUAAAAACGGCAACACAUCUGGUUCGAGGGAGGCGUUUCGGCUAAUCUCGAGUGUAGUCUUUCAUAGACACAUGUAACGCACGCAAAGAUGUGGGCUCAUAUAUGCGUAUUAUGAGCUUAAGGUACGUGCUGCUCCCUUGCGAAAGCGAGAUCAGUUAAGACGAUUGCUAUCAAUGUAAUUGGAUUGACUGUAAUGCUAUGUUUGAUACAAAUGACUAAUGCGAUAAUGAUUAAUAGUACAAACGUAGUGAGGCUUGUGUUACAAUUGAGACGAAUGAUUCGUUUCUUAGUCUUAGUCGUUUCAGUGUGUAACACAAAGUGAAUUCCAGCUCCAAUAGCGUAUAUUAAAGUUGUUGCAGUUAAAAAGCUCGUAGUUGAAUUUCAAGUCCUGAUCGUUCGGUCCGCUUCACGGCGUUCACUGUUCCGAUUGGACUUUCCUUUCUUGGUAAGCUUCGUAUGCCGUUUACUCGGUGUGCGAAUGUCUGGCCAGGACUUUUACUUUGAAAAAAUUAGAGUGUUCAAAGCAGGCCUAUGCCCGAAUAUAUUAGCAUGGAAUAAUAAAAUAGGACGUUGCGUUUCUAUUUUGUUGGUUUCUAGAAUCGCCGUAAUGAUUAAUAGGGAUAGUCGGGGGCAUUCGUAUUCACAUGCUAGAGGUGAAAUUCUUGGAUUUUGUGAAGACGAACUACUGCGAAAGCAUCUGCCAAGGAUGUUUUCAUUAAUCAAGAACGAAGGUUAGGGGAUCGAAAACGAUUAGAUACCGUUGUAGUCUUAACAGUAAACUAUGCCGACUAGGGAUCAGAUGAUGUUAUUUUUUUGACUCAUUUGGCACCUUGCGAGAAAUCAAAGUUUUUGGGUCUGGGGGGAA